CCGUAGGUGRACCUGCGGAAGGAUCAUUAUUGAAUGAAAUCAAAUCAAUCAUUUUACACAUACACCAUGUGCACCAACUGUAGGUUAACUCGGAAGAGUAAGACCUAUGUAUUUCUACAUUUACACCCUUUACAAUGCAUGUCUAUAGAAUGAUGGAAAAUAAAAUAAUAAAGCUAUACAACUUUCAGCAAUGGAUCUCUUGGUUCUCGCAUCGAUGAAGAACGCAGCGAAUUGCGAUAAGUAAUGUGAAUUGCAGAUUUUCAGUGAAUCAUCGAAUCUUUGAACGCACCUUGCGCUCCUUGGUAUUCCAUGGAGCAUGCCUGUUUGAGUGUCAUUUGAAUUCUCAACCAUGUUCUUUGUCUUGAUGGAGGGCAUGGAUUGGACUUUGGAGGUUGCUGGUGGCCAGAUAGCUAGCUAUCAGCUCUUCUGAAAUGCAUUAGCGAUUGAGGUUUUGAGUGCAAGUCAAUCUUUGGACAGACAUGCCAACUAGCCUUUGACGUGAUAAUCAUCCGUCGUAGUGAAUUUUUGGUAUUGCAUGAAUAGACUAUUGAGAUCGCUUCUAAUUUGUGAUCUAAUCUAAUCUAAUAUGAGCUACUUGAGUACUUAGCUACUAGUUGGCUUUCAGUGUUAAAGCUAGUGAACGCGGUAUAAAAGUGUUAGUGUUAGUAUUAGUAUUAAGCUUUUAAUGACUGACCUCAAAUCAGGUAGGACUACCCGCUGAACUUAAGCAUAUCAAUA
RNAcentral lists this ribosomal RNA (738 nucleotides) under uncultured Boletaceae. RNAcentral describes it as "eukaryotic LSU rRNA". The stretch from base 180 to 334 matches the Rfam family "5.8S ribosomal RNA". The record is from RNAcentral. Lineage: Eukaryota; Fungi; Basidiomycota; Agaricomycetes; Boletales; Boletaceae.